GACGAACCGUGCAAACGUUAUUCGGAAUCACUGGGCUUAAAGGGCGCGUAGGCGGGCCGCCAGGUCCGGGGUGAAAGCCUCCAGCUCAACUGGAGAAGUGCCUUGGAUACCGGCGGCCUCGAGGGAGGUAGGGGCGUGCGGAACUUCGGGUGGAGCGGUGAAAUGCGUAGAUAUCCGAAGGAACACCGGUGGCGAAAACGGCGCGCUGGAUCUCUUCUGACGCUGAGGCGCGAAAGCCAGGGGAGCAAACGGG
This 253-nucleotide ribosomal RNA is filed under the name uncultured bacterium. RNAcentral describes it as "partial 16S ribosomal RNA". It matches the Rfam family "Bacterial small subunit ribosomal RNA", at positions 524 to 776 of the family's 1533-position model. The record is from RNAcentral.